This 142-nucleotide non-coding RNA is filed under the name Macleaya cordata. RNAcentral's name for it is "Bacterial large subunit ribosomal RNA". It matches the Rfam family "Bacterial large subunit ribosomal RNA", at positions 2308 to 2453 of the family's 2925-position model. The record is from Rfam by way of RNAcentral. Lineage: Eukaryota; Viridiplantae; Streptophyta; Magnoliopsida; Ranunculales; Papaveraceae.
GUGUAAAGGUAGGCUCAAGCUAAUAUUCUGCUCGUGAGCGUAAUGGUAUAAGCCUUCCUGACUGUGAAACCAACUGGCCGAACAGACAUGAAAGUCGACCAUAGUAAUUCGAGAGUCCUGUGUGGAAGGGCUAUCGCUCAAC